AUUGAACGCUGGCGGCAUGCUUUACACAUGCAAGUCGAGCGGCAGCGCGGGGGCAACCCUGGCGGCGAGCGGCGAACGGGUGAGUAAUGCAUCGGAACGUAUCCUCGAGUGGGGGAUAACCCAGCGAAAGUUGGGCUAAUACCGCAUGAGCUCUGAGGAGGAAAGCGGGGGACCUGCGAGGGCCUCGCGCUGGAGGAGCGGCCGAUGUCCGAUUAGCUAGUUGGUGGGGUAAAGGCUUACCAAGGCGACGAUCGGUAGCUGGUCUGAGAGGAUGAUCAGCCACACUGGGACGGAGACACGGCCCAGCCUCCUACGGGAGGCAGCAGUGGGGAAUUUUGGGCAAGGGGGCAACCCUGAUCCAGCCAUGCCGCGUGAGUGAAGAAGGCCUUCGGGUUGUAAAGCUCUUUCGGACGGAACGAAAUGGGCGGGACUAAUACUCCUGUCUGAUGACGGUACCGUAAGAAGAAGCACCGGCUAACUACGUG
RNAcentral lists this ribosomal RNA (485 nucleotides) under uncultured bacterium. Its description in RNAcentral is "partial 16S ribosomal RNA". It matches the Rfam family "Bacterial small subunit ribosomal RNA", at positions 29 to 507 of the family's 1533-position model. The record is from RNAcentral.